Molecule: ribosomal RNA, 498 nt
Filed under: uncultured bacterium
Lineage: Bacteria
Description: partial 16S ribosomal RNA
Rfam family: Bacterial small subunit ribosomal RNA
Source: RNAcentral
GACGAACGCUGGCGGCGUGCCUAGUACAUGCAAGUCGAACGAGAGCGACCGGUGCUUGCACUGGUCAAUCUAGUGGCGAACGGGUGAGUAACACGUGGGUAACCUGCCCAUCAGAGGGGGAUAACAUCCGGAAACGGAUGCUAAAACCGCAUAGGUCUUCGAACCGCAUGGUUUGAAGAGGAAAAGAGGCGCAAGCUUCUGCUGAUGGAUGGACCCGCGGUGCAUUAGCUAGUUGGUGAGGUAACGGCUCACCAAGGCCGUGAUGCAUAGCCGACCUGAGAGGGUGAUCGGCCACAUUGGGACUGAGACACGGCCCAAACUCCUACGGGAGGCAGCAGUAGGGAAUCUUCCGCAAUGGACGCAAGUCUGACGGAGCGACGCCGCGUGAGUGAAGAAGGUUUUCGGAUCGUAAAACUCUGUUGUUAGAGAAGAACAAGUGCUAGAGUAACUGUUAGCGCCUUGACGGUAUCUAACCAGAAAGCCACGGCUAACUACGUG